UGGCAGGGAAGUUUUCGCCUUGGUGGUGCUGGACAUGCGUGGAGGGCAGAUUCAUUAAGUUUGGGUUGAUUUCUUCCUUUGCUGUUCCAUCUGGAGGAGGCGUUGGAGAGGAGGCUGUGUAGGUGACUGAAACUUUACCAAAAACACGCAUAUGAUAUAUUGCAUUACUAUUUCUUGCAUUCUUCUUAGCCAGUUCAAGCUUUUGUUAAUAUAGUAUUCUUAUUUACUCAUGAUGCUUUUUCGGUGGUUUUAAGUGGGAAUUGCACAUGCUCAUGGUUUUGAUUGAUUUGGGGAGCAACAUCUUCAACAAAAGAAAUGAUGUGAUUAGUUCUGUUGACGAACAUGUUGUUUUGCGUUACUAUAAACUAAAUGGUCAUAUGUGGAUGUCUCAAUUACAAUUGUUACUUCUUGUCAUGAUGCUACUGCUACUAAAUUAGGAUUGGUAUGGCUUGAGUUAUUUGCUUAGUAAUAGCCACAAAAACAUAUGGUCAACUAGAAUUAUUUGCUUAGCAUAGUUUAGUUCUUCAUUAGGGUCAUUCUGCAUGCUUUUGAUCAGGGCACAAAACUGUUUAGUAAUGGGACAUGACAUAAUACAAUGAAUGACACAGAAAGUAUUUAUGCAAAAUUGCUAUGCCUCUGUUUCUCGUUGUUUCUAGAUGGAAUUGUUUCAUGGUUUGCAGACCCUCAUAAAAUAUUUAUUUAUGAUUUAUGAAAUGAGGUCUAUCUUUUACUAUUUGUAAAUUCAGAUGCAAUUAGUUAUUAUCCUAUUACACUAAAAGUAUUUUGUUCUAAUUCUAAUGGUUGGAGCAGAGUUGGUAGAUUUUAAUCAUAAUAUAUCUUGUCGGAUCCCUUAUUUUCUAUUUGGCAUUCACUAACAGCUUUACGAGCUGUUUUUUUGUUCAACAUCCUUCUUCAAAACAGUUUAAUGGCUUCAUUGCUAGAGCUUCUUUUUUAUCCUCUCACAAAGGAAUCAGGAUCACAAAUGAAGAUGAGAGAGGUGAAGCUGAAAAAUGUAGCUUUGCAUAGCUCUCACUUAUUCCCCUCUGUCAUGUAUGAAGCUAUUGGUAAAGUUGUAUUGUCAAUUUUUUUUCCAAAACUUAUCAGCUUUACUGAGAAAGCUGCUCAUGACGAAGCUUAAUUGUGUCAAAUGAGGCUUUAUUUGUCCAAUAUCUUAGCUACUGUUUGGUAAUUUAGAUCA
This is a long non-coding RNA of Zea mays, 1198 nucleotides long. RefSeq lists it as uncharacterized. The record is from RefSeq and is a predicted model, not a curated record. Lineage: Eukaryota; Viridiplantae; Streptophyta; Magnoliopsida; Poales; Poaceae. The transcript has 2 exons.